GACGAACGCUGGCGGCGUGCUUAACACAUGCAAGUCGAGCGGUAAGGCCCUUUCGGGGGUACACGAGCGGCGAACGGGUGAGUAACACGUGGGUGACCUGCCCUUACGCUCUGGGAUAAGCCUGGGAAACUGGGUCUAAUACCGGAUAUGACUCCAUGACGCAUGUUGUGGGGUGAAAGCCUUGUGCGGCUAGGGAUGGGCCCGCGGCCUAUCA
RNAcentral lists this ribosomal RNA (214 nucleotides) under uncultured bacterium. Its description in RNAcentral is "partial 16S ribosomal RNA". It matches the Rfam family "Bacterial small subunit ribosomal RNA", at positions 28 to 243 of the family's 1533-position model. The record is from RNAcentral.